This 234-nucleotide ribosomal RNA is filed under the name uncultured bacterium. RNAcentral describes it as "partial 16S ribosomal RNA". It matches the Rfam family "Bacterial small subunit ribosomal RNA", at positions 28 to 263 of the family's 1533-position model. The record is from RNAcentral.
GACGAACGCUGGCGGCGUGCCUAACACAUGCAAGUCGAACGGGACCAGGGGCAACUCUGGUUCAGUGGCGGACGGGUGCGUAACACGUGAGGAACAUGACCUUCGGCGGGGAGUAGCCGCCCAACGGCCGGGUAAGUACCGCGUACGACCACAUGGGACGAUCCCUGAGUGGUGAAAGCAGCAAUGCGCCGAUGGAGUGCCUCGCGGCCUAUCAGCUAGUUGGUGAGGUAACGG